GGGGUUGUUGCUCAGUGGUAGAGCACUUACCUGGCAUGUGUGAGGCCCUGGGUUCAAUCCUCAGCAUCACAU
Molecule: transfer RNA, 72 nt
Filed under: Marmota marmota marmota (Alpine marmot)
Lineage: Eukaryota; Metazoa; Chordata; Mammalia; Rodentia; Sciuridae
Also listed under: 2 other names
Rfam family: tRNA
About the family: Transfer RNA (tRNA) molecules are approximately 80 nucleotides in length.
Source: Rfam by way of RNAcentral